AGAAUCAACGCUGGCGGCGUGCCUAACACAUGCAAGUCGAACGAGAAAGUGGAGCAAUCCAUGAGUAAAGUGGCGCACGGGUGAGUAACACGUGACUAACCUACCCUUGAGUGGGGGAUAACCUAGAGAAAUCUGGGCUAAUACCGCAUAAUACCUUCGGGUCAAAGGAGCAAUUCGCUUAAGGAGGGGGUCGCGGCCGAUUAGUUAGUUGGCGGGGUAAUGGCCCACCAAGACUAUGAUCGGUAUCCGGCCUGAGAGGGCGCACGGACACACUGGAACUGAAACACGGUCCAGACUCCUACGGGAGGCAGCAGUGGGGAAUUUUGCGCAAUGGGGGAAACCCUGACGCAGCAACGCCGCGUGGAGGAUGAAGUCCCUUGGGACGUAAACUCCUUUCGAUCGGGACGAUAAUGACGGUACCGAGAGAAGAAGCCCGGCUAACUCGUGCCAGCAGCCGC
RNAcentral lists this ribosomal RNA (458 nucleotides) under uncultured bacterium. RNAcentral describes it as "SSU rRNA". It matches the Rfam family "Bacterial small subunit ribosomal RNA", at positions 26 to 518 of the family's 1533-position model. The record is from RNAcentral.